GCCAGGCAUGGUGGCACAUGCUUGUAAUCCCAGCAACUUGGGAGGCUGAGGCAGGAGGAUCUCAAGUUCAAAGCCAGCCUCAGCAACAGUGAGGUGCCAAGCAACUCAGUAAGACCCUGUCUCUA
Molecule: small RNA, 125 nt
Filed under: Marmota monax (woodchuck)
Lineage: Eukaryota; Metazoa; Chordata; Mammalia; Rodentia; Sciuridae
Source: RNAcentral